RNAcentral lists this ribosomal RNA (253 nucleotides) under uncultured bacterium. RNAcentral describes it as "partial 16S ribosomal RNA". It matches the Rfam family "Bacterial small subunit ribosomal RNA", at positions 524 to 776 of the family's 1533-position model. The record is from RNAcentral.
UACGAAGGGGGCUAGCGUUGCUCGGAAUGACUGGGCGUAAAGGGCGCGUAGGCGGUUUGCACAGUCGGGCGUGAAAUUCCAGGGCUCAACCUUGGGGCUGCGUUCGAGACGUGUGGGCUAGAGUGUGGAAGAGGGUCGUGGAAUUCCCAGUGUAGAGGUGAAAUUCGUAGAUAUUAGGAAGAACACCAGUGGCGAAGGCGGCUCACUGGCCCGGUACUGACGCUGAGGCGCGAAAGCGUGGGGAGCAAACAGG